GUCUGCAUGGCUCAGAUGGUAAAGCAUCUGCCUACAAUGCAGGAGACCUGGGUUCAAUCCCUGUGUUGGGA
RNAcentral lists this transfer RNA (71 nucleotides) under Ovis aries (sheep). It matches the Rfam family "tRNA". From Rfam's summary of the family: Transfer RNA (tRNA) molecules are approximately 80 nucleotides in length. Their secondary structure includes four short double-helical elements and three loops (D, anti-codon, and T loops). Further hydrogen bonds mediate the characteristic L-shaped molecular structure. tRNAs have two regions of fundamental functional importance: the anti-codon, which is responsible for specific mRNA codon recognition, and the 3' end, to which the tRNAs corresponding amino acid is attached (by aminoacyl-tRNA synthetases). tRNAs cope with the degeneracy of the genetic code in two manners: having more than one tRNA (with a specific anti-codon) for a particular amino acid; and 'wobble' base-pairing, i.e. permitting non-standard base-pairing at the 3rd anti-codon position. The record is from Rfam by way of RNAcentral. Lineage: Eukaryota; Metazoa; Chordata; Mammalia; Artiodactyla; Bovidae.